Molecule: transfer RNA, 73 nt
Filed under: Acidiplasma cupricumulans
Lineage: Archaea; Methanobacteriati; Thermoplasmatota; Thermoplasmata; Thermoplasmatales; Ferroplasmaceae
Also listed under: 4 other names
Description: Ferroplasma cupricumulans tRNA
Rfam family: tRNA
About the family: Transfer RNA (tRNA) molecules are approximately 80 nucleotides in length.
Source: Rfam by way of RNAcentral
AGCUCCGUGGUGUAGCGGCCAAGCAUACCGGACUUUGGAUCCGAUGACGGCAGUUCAAAUCUGCCCGGAGCUG